UAUGUUACGACUUAUUCCAUUUUAAUGAAAUUGACGGGCAAUUUGUACACUUUUCAAAACUAAUUUCAAUUUAAUUAAUUUAUUAAAUUUACUUUUAAAUCCUCUUUCAAACUAAUAUUAAAAUUAAUUAUUCAAAAAUAUAAUUUAUUAUAACUCAUAAAUCCUUAAAUAUACUACAUUUUGAUUUGAUUAAUUAUUCUAAAUUAAAUAUUUAUUUUAAAUAAUUUUAUAUAAAAAUAUACAACAAUAUAUAAAUAUAAAUAAUUUAAGUAAAUCUUAUCGUGGACUAUCAAAUUAAACUACAAGUUUCUCUAAUAAGAAUGAAAAGCCGCCAUAUAAUUUAAUUUUAAUGAUUUUACAUUUAUUAGUAAAUUAAUUCUAUUAUCUUAUAUAGUGGGGUAUCUAAUC
RNAcentral lists this ribosomal RNA (408 nucleotides) under Bombus fervidus. RNAcentral describes it as "partial 12S small subunit ribosomal RNA". Lineage: Eukaryota; Metazoa; Arthropoda; Insecta; Hymenoptera; Apidae. The record is from RNAcentral.